Molecule: ribosomal RNA, 449 nt
Filed under: uncultured bacterium
Lineage: Bacteria
Description: partial 16S ribosomal RNA
Rfam family: Bacterial small subunit ribosomal RNA
Source: RNAcentral
GUCGAGAAUCUUUCACAAUGGGGGCAACCCUGAUGGAGCGACGCCGCGUGGAGGAUAAGGUCUUCGGAUUGUAAACUCCUGUCAUGCGUGAACAAGGUUGCUUGGAUAAUACCUGAGCAAAUUGAUGGUAGCGCAAGAGGAAGAGACGGCUAACUCUGUGCCAGCAGCCGCGGUAAUACAGAGGUCUCAAGCGUUGUUCGGAAUCACUGGGCGUAAAGGGUGCGUAAGUGGCGUGGCAAGUCAGAUGUGAAAGCCCGGGGCUCAACCUCGGAACUGCAUCCGAUACUGCAAUGCUAGAGUACUGGAGUGGUGACUAGAAUUCUCGGUGUAGCAGUGAAAUGCGUAGAUAUCGAGAGGAAUACCAAAGGCGUAGGCAGGUCACUGGACAGUUACUGACACUGAGGCACGAAGGCCAGGGGAGCGAACGGGAUUAGAAACCCCUGUAGUCC